CCUACGGGUGGCAGCAGUGGGGAAUAUUGGACAAUGGGGGCAACCCUGAUCCAGCCAUGCCGCGUGUGUGAAGAAGGCCCUCGGGUUGCAAAGCACUUUCAGUGAGGAAGAACGCCUGGUGGUUAAUACCCAUCAGGAAAGACAUCACUCACAGAAGAAGCACCGGCUAACUCCGUGCCAGCAGCCGCGGUAAUACGGAGGGUGCGAGCGUUAAUCGGAAUUACUGGGCGUAAAGCGCGCGUAGGUGGCUUGAUAAGCCGGUUGUGAAAGCCCCGGGCUCAACCUGGGAACGGCAUCCGGAACUGUCAAGCUAGAGUGCAGGAGAGGAAGGUAGAAUUCCCGGUGUAGCGGUGAAAUGCGUAGAGAUCGGGAGGAAUACCAGUGGCGAAGGCGGCCUUCUGGACUGACACUGACACUGAGGUGCGAAAGCGUGGGUAGCAAACAGGAUUAGAUACCCCGGUAGUC
This 465-nucleotide ribosomal RNA is filed under the name Vreelandella stevensii. Its description in RNAcentral is "partial 16S ribosomal RNA". It matches the Rfam family "Bacterial small subunit ribosomal RNA", at positions 338 to 795 of the family's 1533-position model. Lineage: Bacteria; Pseudomonadati; Pseudomonadota; Gammaproteobacteria; Oceanospirillales; Halomonadaceae. The record is from RNAcentral.